GGAAAUUCCCAACACUUUUUUCAUUGCAACAGCAAAAUUAGACUCAGUGUUCAGCAGAGAUUUGCAAAUGAUUUGAAAAUUCAACAAUAUUGGAUUCUAAACAUAAUAGAACUUUCUGGUGUGAUCAUCUUCAGUCAGAGACUACAGUGUGUUCAUGUUUUUGGCCUGGUCCAUCCCAGUCCUCUAAAAGGCGUUAACUUCAGCACUCAUUCAUCCUCAUUAAUCUAUCUUUGUGUGGAUCUACGGGUGUUACCAGUGACUCAGAAUAGCUUAGACUGUGCAAUGAUACUGCGCAACAUUUCACAAUUAGGCAAUUUUCGGAGUAAAGGAAAUGUACAUUUUUAAACAAACUGGACAUGAAACUGUCAGUGAUGGAGCCUCUAUGACCCCUAUGAUGGAUGGCCAGUAAAAAUCUGCCUUCUAAUGUUGUUGGAUGAUCUGAUGUCCUACAGUGAAAAAAUGUUUCAUGAUUUAAAUGUCAGGUGGUUGUUUAUUUAAUUAGGUCCACUUACCAUAGACGUGCACCUGCUGUGUGGUGGUUUUGUGGUGGUCCUGACUUUACCACUAAUAAACAGGGUAAAGGCUGACAUAUUAUGCAGAGAAACAGAUGGACUACAGUCUGUAACUGUAGAACUACAAAGUGCUCCUAUAUGGUAAGUGGAGCUGACAAAAUGGACAAUGAGCAUAGAUACAAGGUAGGUGAACCUAAUAAAGUGGCCAAUGAAAAUAUGUUACAUCAACUCAGUUGCUGCCUUUUAGUUUACUUCUUUUGGCAGGAACUGUAUUGAUGUAACACACUUUAUUCUAUGCGAUGUGCAACCAUUCAACACAUUUGAAUCAGGCAAACUCAAAACACUGCUUUGCUAUAAGGGUGUUGUAAGUAUUUUGUAGUCUGAGGCAUGUUUAGCUAGCUAGCAUGAUCUAUUUUGGUUCCUUUCUAAUAGUGGCCUAAUUGUUGCUAAAGGUAAACUGCACUUAGGAAGCAUUAAGAAAAAAAAGAUUUAUCUACUAUUGGCCACUGAAACCGUCCUUUCCUCAGACAUUAUGAAGGCCGGGUUGCCAGAUUUGCUGGUUUCUUACCAAUUUGGGUGUUUUGGUUGGAAUGUGCCUUGGCGGGUGGACAAAAUUUGGUCUGGUGUGUCAUGAUUUUGUGUUUUCUUAAUAAAGUACAUAAAAUUAAUGAACUGCAUUGCAUAAUAAUGCAGCUGGAAUUUGAGUAAGCCUAUCCUCUCCCCACAUCAGCUACCAGUUGCCCCAGCCAUCAGCAAUGGCAUGACCUGGCAUGAAUUGUCCAUAUAUGUAUGUGAGAAAUAGUUAUGCUUCUUUCUUUUUUUGCAAUAUUAUCAUUAUUGUUUACCUUUUUCUAGGUGGAGUCUAAAAAUUGCAUUUAAAAAACUGCAAAC
This is a long non-coding RNA of Colossoma macropomum (tambaqui), 1403 nucleotides long. RefSeq lists it as uncharacterized. The transcript is spliced from 3 exons. Lineage: Eukaryota; Metazoa; Chordata; Actinopteri; Characiformes; Serrasalmidae. The record is from RefSeq and is a predicted model, not a curated record.